CAAAGUAUAGCUUAUUUAAAGCCUUUUGUUUACACUGAAAAAAAGUCCGUUAAACUCGGUCUACUUUGA
RNAcentral lists this transfer RNA (69 nucleotides) under Ischnocnema parnaso. RNAcentral describes it as "tRNA-Val". Lineage: Eukaryota; Metazoa; Chordata; Amphibia; Anura; Brachycephalidae. The record is from RNAcentral.